Molecule: long non-coding RNA, 18860 nt
Filed under: Nicotiana tabacum (common tobacco)
Lineage: Eukaryota; Viridiplantae; Streptophyta; Magnoliopsida; Solanales; Solanaceae
Description: long non-coding RNA (NTAB_LNC013387)
Source: RNAcentral
ACACGCGCACACACACAAAAAAGGGGAACAGACGGGGAUUUUCUGGGCAGGAAACAAAACAAAAGAAACGAAAAGGGACGAGCAAAAAAACAGAGAGAGAGAGAGAUGAGCAAGCAAAAAUCACAAAAAUCUUGUUCUUCUUCUUCUUCUUCACCUUUUUCCUACACCUUAUACUGCCAUGGAAAUGCAGCCCCAGUAGCUCCACAAUACACCAACAAAACAGUCUACUUCCACCACUAAAAAAUCAGUGGAAGCUCUCAUCUUCAUUCACCACAUAAACCUGCCGGAAAACUCCAUGAAAGAGACUUGAAACUUCAUGAAAACCAGCAAAACAGAGCUUCUUCCUCAACCAAAAAGAACAUUAGCUCUCAUCCAUGUGAAGCCACUGAAAACCACCUUAAAUCACCCCAAACCAUCCCCUAUUUACUACUGAAGCCCAGCUUCAAAACACAGCAAAAGCUGCUGCCAAGGUCACCCGAAAAAGAAAAAAAUCCGUUUGAGCUCAAGUUCGAAGCAUUCUUGUCCAAGUUCGUCGUUUGAGGUUCGAGUUCUCAGUCGAGGUUCCAUCAUUGGCGAGGUGUACGAUCUGAGAUUAGUGAGCUUUUUGGGCAGGUUCUUCGCUUCAGGUCGAGUUCUCCAUUUUUUUGGACUGUCGUCUGAUUUUAUGUAAGUUGGUUUGGAGUUUUCGGCUAAAUAAAGGUUCCCUUUUAUUCUUUAAUAUGCUUCUUAGUUCAUGGUAUCUGUUGCAAUUUUGUUUGUCUUAUGAAAGUUAGAUGAAUAUUCUUAUUAGUACUUGAUUACAACAUGCCUAAAUCAUGAAAUCGCUUGAGAAUUUCUAUGGGGUCGAUGUAUAUUUUAGUGUUAUGAAUUUGGAAUCAAUGUGUACUGAUAGGAAGGUGUUGUUUCAUUUAUUAAAUUUGAUAUAAAACUAAUUGAAAUGUGUUAAGGAAAAUAAAUAACGUUUGUAAACAGAGAUUGAAAAGCAAGGUUUGGACUUAGCGCAAAGAAUUUGGGGCAUUGGAUGGAUUCACAUUUAAGAAGGAAUGAGUUAUUAUGAUUAUUGGGCCAUCUGAUACUUGGCAAAGUAGCAGGUAAGGAAUCCCAACGUGGUAAAUCCAUAUACUAAGACCAUUUUCGUAAAUAAUAAUUUAUCUUCUCAUACCAAAAUAUUUCUAACACGAUAGCAUACUUUAAGCACACUCUUAAUUAAUUAAAUUAUCGUGAUUAUGUAUACGUUCGCGAGAUAUAAUUAUGAUUUCCAUCAUUAAAACCAAAGUAUGUGUUCGUGCAACUUUGGAGAAAACAAUCUUAAUAAAAAUAAAAUAUUAUUGAUUGUGUGCACGUUCGUGUGAUACGAGUACAAUUUAAAAAUAAAUAUUCGUAUAAAAUGCUUUAGGUGCGACUUAAUCUAUCAUCGUGAUUGUGUAUAAGUUCGCGUGACAUAAUUAUAAUUUUUAAAAUAAAUCAAGGUAUGCGUUCGCACAACUUUGGGUCAAACAAUCUUAAUAAUAAUAAAGUGUUAUUAGUUGUGUACACGUACGCGUGAUAUGACUUUGACACACCAAACAAAACGAGUACACGUACACAUGACUCGUUUUGAGAUAAUUCCAUAAUUCAAUAAUCAAACAAUUAAAAGCGGUUAAAAGGGUAAAGGCACAUAGGUUUAAAAAUAAGUAAUUAAAAUAAUUUAAUUAAGCCAGGUAUGAUUAAAGCGACCGUGCUAAAACCACAGAAAUUAGGAGUGCCUAACACCUUCUCCCGGGUUAAUAGAAUCCCUUACCUGGUCUUCUGGUUUAGCAGACUUUAAAACAGAGUCAAAUUUCUUCGAUUUGAGAUUUAAAAUAAACCGGUGACUUGGGACACCAUAAAGUAUUCCAAGUGGAGACUCUGAAAAAAUAAAUAAUCCCAUUUCGAUUAAUAUCACUUUAAUUGAAAAAACUCUCUUAUGUCCCUUUCGGGUAAAAAGGAGGUGUGACAGCUCAGGCGACUCUACUGGGGAUCGAACCUAGAAUCUCUGGUUCAGGGUUGAAGAAUUCGAGCUUGUUAUUGUGAUUUUUACUUGGCUUUAUUUAUUGUUGAUAUUACUGUAUUUUGUGGGUCUAAUAUGCUAAUUGCCGCUUAUUUACCGCUUUGAUAUUGUUUGAAUUGUAUUAAAUUGUCUUCUUACGCCUUCCUUCUGAGUCUUCUAAAAAAUAGUGCACACGUACGCGUGGCCUAAUUUUCUGUUAAAGGUCGUACCAAAUAGAGCGAGGAUGGAUCAGCCACUAGGCCAGGUAGACUUUUGUGCUCCAAGUACGUCGCUCCCACCUAGGCUCAAGUUGUCCGCUUGGGUAAGCCAGGUCUAGAACACAAUUCCAGGUUUAAACCUAGAAUAACAUAACCUCAUACCGAAUCCCUAGUAGGAACAUUUGUUUGCAUCACGUGCAUUUGACUUUGAAGACUCAACACAGGAGUUGGGUCCGUCUAAGACAGGUGUACCCGAAAUGAAAGACCAUCCUGAUGCAUCUUACGUGCUAUUUGUAAAUUUAUUUGUUUCGGUUUGUAUAUUGACCGGCUAAGGAAAAAAAUAGCAGAAAACCAAGAGUGAGGUAGGAUAGAGAAUUCACCCGGUUCUGAAAAUCCCGAUAUUUGAAAAAAUGCCUCGAAACUCUGCCAAAAUUUUUGGAAAAAAAAAGAGGAAAAGAAAAUGUAUUUCAAAGAAUGAAAGUGAGUCAAUAUCAUGUUUUUUCCAAUUUUGUCAAAACUGACCUAACUACACGGAUCCGAUUCUCACCUGAUGUGAGAUACAUAGGCAAACCUCAUCGGUUCUGGCCCACAAUUUUCAAAAUAAAUCCAAAAAUAUUUUUUCUUUACUUACUUCUUUAGAAAGUCUUUCUUUUAGAUCCCAAUUUUUAAAAAUACAAAAAUAUUUUCUUUUAAUUUCUUCUCAAAAUCCAAAAAUAUUUUCAUUCUUCUUUCAAAAUUUGAAAAGAAAAUUCUAGAUUCAAAAAUAUUUCCUUUUUCUUUAGAAGCAUUUCAUUCAUAAAUUCAAAAUAAAAUUUCAAAAAAUCCAAAAAUAUUUUCUUUCUUCUUUAAAAGUUUUUCUUUCGAAAAUUCAAAAAAAAUAUUUUCUUUCUUCUUUAAAAGUCUUUCUUUUCAAAAAUUUUAAAAAGAAAACAACAAACAAACAAAUCAAAAUCAAAAAAUAUUUUGUUUCUUCUUUUCAAGUCUUUCUUUCGAAAAAAGUCCAAAAUCCAAAAAAAGAGUUAGUUUAUUUACUUUCUUCCUAAUCUUUCCGAACUACGCAAAGAUAUGAUUCAUGCGGCGUCAUGAUACGUAGGCAACCUACAUCAGGUUCGAUCGAAUGGUUUAAAAGAAAAAAAGAAACAAAAGAAAAGAGAGAGAAUAAAGAAAGAAAAAGAAGAAGNNNNNNNNNNNNNNNNNNNNNNNNNAUGGGAUGACAUGGCCUGGGCCUUUGUCAAACAGUUCUAAUAAAACAUCGACAUUGCACCAGACCACAAUUCCCUUUCAAACCUGAAGAAGAAACCAAUUGAAAGUUUCAGGAAAUAUGCCACUUAAUGGAGAGAGCAAGCGACUAGAGUUAAGCCACCCAUGGAUGACCACGAGCUAAUCACUAUAUUCCUUCAGGCGGAAGAGCCAGAUUACUUUCAAAACAUGAUGUCCGUAGUUGGCAAAUCCUUCUCGGAAGCAAUCAAAAUGGGAGAAAUGGUAGAGAUUGGCGUUAAUACAGGUAGAAUUAUAAGUCAAGCAGCUCUCAAAGCUGCAACUCAGUCUGUCCAAAUUGAAUCUGGUAAUUUUAGUGAAACGAAUGAUAAGGUUGAAGAAAUCAUGAUGACAUUAGGGUUGAGAAGAGGUCCUAGGAGAAUAGCUCGAAGGUAUGACCAGCCUCGUCUAUAUUUUGAUGAUUCCCUUGAGCACUACUAUCCACCUCAGAACCCACAAUACUCUAUUGCUCCACCCCAGUAUGUUGUCCAGCCACCAAGACACCCCAUAAGGCGAGCACCAGCACCGCAAAAUCUUCACCAGCCUCUAUAAAAUUUUCAAGUGCCCUAUAACCUACAUCCAAGCCAGGGGUAUAGAGGGGAACAAAGGUUGAAAGAUAAUUUUACCCCAAUAGGAGAGUCCUAUGCAAGAUUAUUUGAGAAGUUAAAGCAUUAUGACAUGAUUGCACCCAUUCCUCCAAAUCAUGUGGACCCACGUGAAAUAAGCUUUGACUCUUCUAAAAGGUGUAAAUACCAUUCCAAUGCCCAUGGGCUAAAUGUCAAGCUUAUCAAUUGAAAAGUCAUUCCCUCCUCACUAGGAAGGAAUCUUGGUAGCUUGUUUUGAUUUUUUUCUAUUAUCUGGGUUAUUUCAGGGUUGUGAUCCAGAUUUUAUUUGUUUUAUUGAGUCAAACCCUUCUAUCCUUCCAUUCUGUUUGUGUGAGUCUUGUCCGUUUGUUCUAUUGCUAUUUUCAUCAUCCGGGUUAUUUUAGGGUUGUAACUCGGAUCGUAGGUUGUUUGUCUUGUUGUUUACUCAAUGAAAUACAGUUUGUACUUUUGUGUCAUUCCGUGCUUAGUUCUUUUCCGCUAGUUUUAGUGAUAUGACAUGCGUGCGAAAAUUUUGGCCAGAUUUUAGAAAACUGAUUUAGUCUUGAAUUGGAUAAUUGAGAACAAGACACUUUUGAGGAUGAAAAAGAGUUGAAAUACCUUGGAAUUAAGACCGAGUAAAAUUCAAGUGGUACUAUAAUAGUCAUACUCAUGGAGGUUAAGGAUAUUUACCUUCAUAGUCAUUGUGAAGAUCGGUUUGAGGAAGAAUCAAUUGAAGUAUAUUGGAAAGUUUGUCAUUAAGUGAUGGAAGUGUCUUGUGACCACGACACACCAAGAAGACAGACAUGUUCGUCAAUGUCGUGAUCGCGAAAAGAUACUAUGUUUGACAUUCUCGAGGCUGAGAGGCCCUUUUUUCUGCUACCCAAAUACUUUAUAUCCUUUAUUACCCCUUUUGAGCCUGUGUUAUUUUCUUUGACAAAUCUCUUUUGGAAUCAAGUUUAGAGUUAAAAGUCUAAUAAAAAAUAAAAAUGGAAAAAUGAUAAAAAAAAAGUCCAUACCCCAAGAGUACAAACUGAGGCAGCUUUUAGAAAAUUCAAGUGAAAAAAUGAAGAAGAAAAUAAUUGUCUGUAAUGAUCUGGCCGGUCGUUUCAUGAGUUACCGCUCUUUUUCCCCCAUUUCUACUUCUUUAUGUCUUGUUCAGCUGUAUUAUGUGGUAUUGGGGUGGUUGUUCAGCUGUAUUAUGUGGUAUUAAAGAAUGAGACACUUCGUCUCUUUUGAGUAAGCUUAAGUUGGAAAAGUCAACCGGAUGUUAACUUAUGUGAACAAGGUCUCGAAUGUGAAUUCCGAUGGUUCGGAUAGCCUCUUUAGGUGAUUUGGGAGUUAGGUUCGUGAUCAGAAUGUAUUUUGGAGGUCAGUGGUAGAUUCAGGCUUGAAUUGGGGAAAUUAGAAUUUUGGCGUUUUCAGGUUGGUAGUGGAAAUUUUGAUAUUGGGGUCGGAAUGGAAUUCCAGAAAUUGGAUAGGUCCGUUGUGUAAUUUUGUGAUAUGUGUGCAAAAUUUCAGGUUAUUCGGGCGAGGUUUGAUAGACUUUUUGAUCGAAAGCGGAAUUUGGAAGUUUUGGAAUUCUUAGGCUUGAAUCCGAGGGGAUCAGAUGUUUUAAUAUUGUUUUGAGCAUUCCGAAGGUUGGAAUAUGUUUGAAUGAUGUUAUGGGAUGUGUUGGCAUGUUUAGUUGAGGUCCCAAGGGCCUCGGGUGAGUUUUGGGUGGUUAACGGACCAAUUCUUGGUUUUGGGGAGUUGCAGAUUUUCUGGUUUUUAUUGCAGAGGAAAUUGUUCUUUGCGUUCGUGAAGAAGCGCUGGACCUAGGGGAGAAAAUGUUCUUCGCGUUCACGAGCCUGGGGUCACAUUCGUGUAGGUUUGGAUUCCAUUGAAUCGCGAAUGCGUGAGAGGAGUCCCGUUCGCGUAGGGUAAUUGGAGCAGCUGGGACCCCAUGAGUUUUGUGCUUUGCAUUCGCGUAGGUAAGGUCGCGUUCGCGAAGGCUUGGGCAGUUGAAGCUUCGCGUUUGCGUGAAGGGAGCGGCGUUCAUGAAAGAGGAAUAUUUGGCCAGUGAGGUUUUGUGCUUAGCGAACACGAGGCUUUGAGCGCGUUCGUGAAAAAGGAAUUAAUGUCUAGGCAGAAUGUUUAAAUAGUUUCCUUCGCGAUUCUUGGUCCAUUUUCUCCAUUGUUGAACGGUUUGAAGCUUUUUGAGAGGGAUUGUAGAGGGAAUCGAAGGGAAACACUUGGAGCUAAGAAUUUGGAACUCAAUACUCGAUUCUCUGGUGAUUUCUAUCUAAUUAGACAUGAAAUUCGUGGGAUUUAAAGCCUAAAAUUGGGGAAUUAGGGCUUGAAAUUGGAGACUUUGAUUUAAGGAUUUGAGGGGUCAUUAGUGGUCGAAUUUUGAUGUAAUUGGUAUGUAUGAACUCAUGAGAGUUCAAGGAUUCUAGUUUUGUAAUUUUUAUCGGAAUCCGAGACGUGGGCCCGGGGGUCGGGUUUGGCCAAUUUUGGGAUUUUUGAUGUAAUUCGAUUAUUUUCGCUUGGGAUUUGUUCAUUUAGUGCAUAUUAAUAGUAUGAUUCUAAUUUUGGUUAGAUUUGGAGAAUUGGAGGACGAUUCGAGGAGCAAAGGCAUCGCGGGCUAGAGUUUGGACCGGAUUAAUGUAAGUAAUGAUUGUAAAUGUUGUCUUGAGGGUAUGAAACUCCGGAUUUCACAUCGUUGUGCUACUUUGAGGUAACACACACGUCAGAUGACGAGCGUGGGGUUGUGCACCGUUGGGGAUUAUGACUUGUUCCGUCCCGUACGACUAUUAAGUUGCGUAUUUGAUUGAAGACUGUUUGAAAUCAUUGUGUUUUGGAAAGUAUUACUAUGUUUUGGGCUAAAUGCCAUAUUUGGGCCUCAUGACAACUGUUUGGACCCUUAGGGGAUUUUUUUACUACUAUUCCUCACUAUUUUGACCUCAUAUUUGUACUCAGUGAUGUUGUAUUCUACUGUUUUCAUACCUCAGCCGUAUUUACUCCGUUUUGACAUUUUAAAUGAUGUGUUGGGCUGAGCAUCAUGAUUUACUGUUGCCCGAGUGGCUUGAGAGGUUUCUAACUGAGUGAGGCCGAGGGCCUGUGUUGUGAGGAUUGUUAUGGAAUUGGGCUAUGCACCGCAACAUGUGUACUGAUUUGUGAUAUAUGAGAGGCCGAGGGCCUGAUUUGUUAUGCCACGAGAUGGCUUGUGAUAGCGCUUGGGCUGUAGGAGCCCUUCUGGAAUCUGAACACCCCCAGUGAGCGCGGGUACCCAGUUUGAGAGAUGUGAUAUUGCCCGAGGGGCUGAUGUUGUUUCAUGUUAUUGCCCGAGGGGCUGAUGUUGUUUCAUGUUAUUGCCCGAGGGGCUGAUGUUGUUUCAUGUUGUUGCCCGAGGGGCUGAUUAUGAGUGAUUAUGAGGUAGCCGGGGGGCUGGUUUCUGUUGAUAUUUUGCCCGAGGGGCGGUUGUGGUAUAUGUUUUGCCCAAGGGACUGUUUACGCUUUCUACCCUUUUACUCACUGUUUUCAUCACUCGUUUGAAACUAUUGAAAGAUGUUGUAAAAAUGUUUUACUGAGCUGAGUUAUUUUUACGAGUUUUGUUGAUUUACUGUAUUAAUUCUGCAUAUAUACUAUUUUUUUGUGGUGCUAUGACGUGAAAUUACCUGUUUCUUACUACUCAGGUGCUUUUACUUUUAUUACUUACUAAGUUGGCGUACUCACAUUACUCCCUGCACCUUGUGUGUAGAUACAGGAGUCUCGGGGCGCCAUAGUGAGUGCUGAUAAGUCUUCCUGCCGGUCUCCGAAGUUGACUAGGUAGCUGCUUGGUGUUCGCAGCCCAGUGCUUCUCUUUCAUAUCUUAUUCAGAUUGUCGUAGUAUUUUAUUUUUGGACUAUGCUGUAUUUUCUUAUUCCUAGACGAGUUGUAGUUGCUCAUGAUUGGUGACACCCUGAUGUCGGGCUUGUGUUAUAUUUUUGCACUGCUUAUUUUAACUUAUAUUAUGAAAUUUUAGCGAAAGAAUGUCUUAAAAUGACUUAUUAUAAAUUUCUGGUUGGUUUUAGGGUUUGGUCGACUGGCCUAGUUUCACGUUAGGUGCCAUCAUGACCGGGUCAGUGUUUGGGUCGUUACAAAUUGGUAUCGGAGCCUAGAUUACAUAGGUCUCACAAGUCAUGAGCAGGUUUAGUAGAGUCUCGCGGAUCGGUACAUAGACAUCUGUACUUAUCCUCAGGAUGCUGUAGAACCUUUAGGAAAACUUAAUAUUUUUGAAUUCCUGUCGUGCAAAUCUGUUGAUUCUAGUACUAAACUUCUGUUAUUCUAUUCUCUCACAAAUAGUGAGGACACGUGCUACUGGACAGGACGGACAACCGCCAGUACCACAAGCUAGGGCUACCAGAGGCCGAUGACGUGGUCGAGGCCAUGAUAAGGGUAGGGGUAGGGGUGUAGCCCGCAUAGCAGCUAGGGAAUCACCUGCAAAUCCACCAAUCGCCCUAGUUCAUGAUCAAGUCCCAGUUGUGGGCGCUCCAGCAACACCAACUCAGGCACCGAUUGUGCCCAUUGUUAUUCCAGGCCUUCAGGAGGCCCUGGCCUAGAUUCUAUUGGUGUGCACUAGCCUAGCUCAAGCGGUCUUAGUUACUACAGCCACAGCUACUUCUCAGGCCGAGGGAGGAACUCAGACCCCCACCGCUUGCACACCUGAGCAGGUCGUGCAGGGACUUCAGACACCGAGGGAACCUCCAGCCCAGCCGGUUGCAGCUGCUCAGGACUAUGUAGCUCCUAUUAUGCCAGAGGACCAGCAGCACAGAUUGGAGAGGUUUGGUAGACUUCAGCCUCCGACUUUUAGUGGUGCAGAGGGCGGUGAUGCCCAAGGUUUCUUGGACAAAUGUCAGAGGAUGCUUCGGACCGUAGAUAUUCUGGGGACCAGCGUGGUCUCAUUCACUACUUUCUAGUUCUUCGGGACUGCACUUAAUUGGUGGGAGGUUUACGAGAGGUGUAGGCCGGUUGGCGCAGCGCCCCUUUCUUGGUGGCAGUUCUCCGUUCUCUUUCUAGAGAAGUUUGUACCUGAGUCUUGCCGAGAAGAACUGCGCAGACAGUUUGAGCGGCUUCGUCAGGGAGAUAGAUCUGUUACACAGUAUGAGAUGUGGUUUUUUGAGUUGGCUCGUCAUGCGGUCUGGUUGGUUCCCACAAAUCGAGAGAGGAUCAGGAGCUUUAUAGAUGGCAUCGGCUUUUAGCUUCGGUUGCUUAUAACCAGAGAGAGAUUAUCUGGUGCUACUUUUGAUGAGGUUGUUGACAUAGCUCGACAGAUUAAGAUGGUUCGUGGUCAGGAGAGGAUUUAGAGGGAGGCUAUGAGGCCUCGUGGUUAGGGUGGAUUUAGUGGUACUCCUCAUGGGGGUCAGUUUCAACACGAUAGAGGCCAUCUAUUCAGGCAUGCUCAGUCAACUCGCCCAGGUUAUCAUGGGGCAUAAUCGGGCCAUGGUUCUCACUGUUCUCAUCAGGGCCAUUCAUCACUCAGUGCCCUUCCAGCCUAGAGUUCAUCCCGUGCUCCAUUAGUUCAGGGCUCUUCUAUGCUAGGUUCUUCUGCUAGUCAUCCCAGUGCUAAGGGUUCCCUUUAGUCCCUGUCUCCAGCACACGGGGGUUUUUAUGAGUGUGGAGAGUUGGGUCACAUGUGAAGGCAGUGUCCUCGUUGUCUUAGUAAUUCAUCUCAGUAGAGGAGUCAGCUAUCGACUUCAGCACCAGUUGCUUCACCGCCCACCCACCCAGCUAGGGGUAGAGGACAGUCAGCUUGGGGUCGCCCCAGAGGGGAGGUCGAUCAGGUAGUGGUCACGGCCAUUUCUAUGUAGUCCCAGCUAGACCCGAUGCUAUUGCUUCAGAUGCUGUGAUUACAUAUAUUGUCUUAGUUUGCCACAAAGAUGCCUCUAUGUUAUUUGAUCCCAGUUCUACUUUUUCAUAUGAGUCAUUAUAUUUUUCUCGUUAUUUGGAUAUGCCCCGUGAGUCUCUUAUUUCAUCUGUUCGUGUAUCUACUCCGGUAGGCGAUACUAUUAUUGUGGACCGCGUAUAUCGGUCGUGUAUGGUGACUAUUGGGGGUUUGGAGACCCGAGUGGACCUUCUAUUGCUUUGUAUGGUGGACUUUGAUGUGAUAUUAGGCAUGGAUUGGCUAUCUCCAUGUCAUGCUAUUUUGGAUUGUCAUGCUAAGACAGUGAUGUUGGCUAUGCCGGGUGUGCCACGGAUUGAGUGGCGAGGUUCGACUGAUUUUGUUCCCAGUAGGGUGAUUUCAUUUUUGAAGGCCCAGUGGAUGGUUAGGAAAGGUUGUCUUUCAUACUCAGCUUUUGUGAGGGAUAUUAGUACAGAGGCUCCUACCAUUGAUUCGGUCCCGGUAGUGAGGGACUUUCCGGAUGUGUUUCCUGCAGACUUGCCGGGCAUGCCACCAGACAGAGAUAUUGAUUUUGGUAUUGAUCUAGUGCUGGGCACGCAGCCCAUUUCUACUCCACUGUAUGGCACCAGUGGAGUUGAAGGAGUAGCUCCAGGAACUCCUUGAUAAGGGGUUUAUUCGGCAUAGUGUGUCGCAUUGUUGUGCGCCUGUUCUAUUUGUGAAGAAGAAGGAUGGCACGAUGAGGAUGUGCAUUGACUACAUGCAAUUGAACAAAUUCACAAUCAAUAACAAGUAUCGUUUGCCUCGUAUCGAUGAUUUAUUUGACCAGCUUCAGGGAGUGAAAGUGUUCUCCAAGAUUGAUCUCCAUUCAGGGUAUCACCAAUUGAAGAUAAGGGACUCGUAUAUUCUUAACACAACUUUCAGGACCCGAUAUGGUCAUUAUAAGUUCCUUGUGAUAUCGUUUGAGCUGACUAAUGCCCAAACAACAUUCAUGCAUUUGAUGAACAUCGUGUUUCGGCCUUAUCUCGACUCGUUCGUGAUUGUUUUCAUUGAUAAUAUUUUGGUGUACUCACGUAGUCAGGGAGAUCACGCAGAGCAUUUGAGAGUUGUGUUGCAGCGGUUGAGGGAGGAGAAGAUUUAUGCAAAGUUCUCCAAAUGUGAGUUUUGGCUUAGUUUAGUGGCUUUCUUGGGGCACGUGGUGUCCAGUGAGGGUAUUCAGGUUGAUCCAAAGAAGAUAGAUGUGGUUCAGAGUUGGCCCAGACCGUCCUCAUCCACAGAGAUUCACAACUUUCUUGGUUGGGGGGUUAUUACCAUCGGUUCGUUCAGGGAUUUUCAUCUAUAGCAUCAGCCUUGACCAAAUUAACUCAAAAGGGUGCUCCAUUCAAGCGGUCGGAUGAGUGUGAGGCGAGCUAUUAGAAGCUCAAGACUGCCUUGACCAAAGCUCCAGUGUUAGUUUUGCCAUCAGCUUCAGGUACAUAUACAGUGUAUUGUGAUGCUUCAAGAGUUGGUGUUGGGUGUGUGUUAAUGCAGGAGGGUAGAGUGAUUGCUUAUGCUUCUCGUCAGUUGAAGCCCCACGAGAAGAACUACCCCGUUCAUGAUUUGAAGUUGGCCGCCAUUGUCUACGCAUUGAAGAUUUGGAGGCAUUAUCUCUAUGGUGUGUCUUGUGAGGUGUUUACGGAUCAUCAUAGCCUCCAGCACUUGUUCAAAUAAAAGGAUCUCAAUUUGAGGCCGCAGAGAUGGUUAGAGCUGCUAAAGGACUAUGAUAUUACCAUCUUGUACCAUCUGGGGAAGGCAAAUAUAGUGGCCUAUGCCUUGAGUAGGAAGGCGGUGAAUAUGGGCAGUCUUGCAUUUAUUCUUAUUGGGAGAGACCUCUUACAGUUGAUGUUCAGCUCUUGUCCAAUCGGUUUGUGAGGUUGGAUAUUUCAGAGCCUAGUCAGAUUUUAGCUUGUGUGGGUUCUCGGUCUUCCUUGUUCGAUCGCAUCAGAGAGCGCCAAUAUGAUGAUCCUCAUUUGCUUGUCCUUAAUGACAAUGUUCAGCAUGACGAUGCCAGAGAUGUGACUAUUGGUGAUGAUGGGGUGUUGAGGAUGCAGGGCUGGAUAUGUGCCCCCAAUGUAGAUGGGCUUCGGGAGUUGAUUCCGGAGGAGGCCCAUAGCUCGUGGUAUUCUAUCCAUCCGGGUGCCGCGAAGAUGUAUCAGGAUCUGAGACAGUAUUAUUUGUGGAGGAGAAUGAAGAAGGACAUUGUGGGGUUUGUAGCUCGGUGUCUCAAUUGUCAGCAGGUGAAAUAUGAGCAUUAGAGACCGGAUUGCUUGCUUCAGCAGAUGGAUAUUCCAGAUUGGAAGUGAGAGCGUAUAACCAUGGAUUUUGUAGUUGGACUCCCAUGGACUUUGAAGAAGUUCAAUGCUGUUUGGGUGAUUGUGGAUCGGCUGACCAAGUCCACACACUUCAUUCCUAUGUUUACUACCUAUUCUUCAGAGCGGGUUGCAGAGAUCUAUAUCCGAGAGAUUGUUCACAUGCAUGGUAUCCCAGUUUCCAUUAUUUCAGAUAGAGGCACUCAGUUUACUUCACAGUUUUGGGGGGCCGUGCAGAGAGAGUUGGGUACUCAGUUUGAGUUGAGCACAACUUUUCACCCUCAGACGGACGGGCAGUUCGAGCGCACUAUUUAGAUAUUAGAGGACAUGUUCCGAGCCUGUGUCAUUGAUUUUGGUGGUUCGUGGGAUCGGUUUCUACCGCUUGCAGAGUUUUCAUAUAACAACAAUUAUUAGUAGAGUAUUCAGAUGGCUCCAUAUGAGGCUUUAUAUGGGAGACGGUGUAGAUCUUCAAUUGGUUGGUUUGAGCCGGGUGAGGCUAGGCCUUUGGGUACAAACUUGGUGCAGGAUGCUUUGGACAAGGUGAAGGUGAUCCAGGAGCGGCUUCGUACAACGCAGUCGAGACAAAAGAAUUAUGCGGACAGGAAGGUUCGUGAUGUGUCUUACAUGGUUGGGGAGAAGGUUCUAUUUUAGGUUUCACCCAUGAAGGGUGUUAUGAGAUUUAGGAAGAAGGGUAAAUUGAGUCCUCGGUUUAUUGGGCCUUUUGAUGUACUUCAGAGGAUUGAGGAGGUGACUUAUGAGCUUGCUUUGCCACCUAUCUUGUCGAGUGUGCAUCCAGUAUUUCAUGUUUUUAUAUUCCGGAAGUAUAUUGACGAUCCGUCUUAUAUUUUGGAUUUCAGCACGGUUCAGUUGGACGGUGAUUUGACUUAUGAUGUGGAGCCAGUAGCUAUUUUGGAGGAUCGGGUUCGAAAGUAUAGGUGAAAGUAUAUAGCUUCAAUGAAAGUGCAGUGGAGAGGUCGGCCCGUAGAGGAGGCUACCUGGGAGACCGAGUGAGAUAUGUAGAGUAUAUAUCCUCACCUAUUUGAGGAUUCAGGUAUGUUUCUUGACUUGUUUGAGAAUGACCGUUUGUUUAAGAGGGGGAGGAUGUAACGAUUCGGCCGGUCAUUUCAUGAGUUAUAGCUCCGUUUCCCCCAUUUAUGCUUCUUUAUGCCUUGUUCAGCUGUAUUAUGUGGUAUUGGGGUGGUUGGUUCGGGUUUAGAGUGGUUUUGUAGAGAAUGAGACACUUUGUCUCUUUUGAGAAAGCUUUAGUUGGAAAAGUCAACCGGAUGUUGACUUAUGUGAAAAAGGUCUCGGAUGUGAAUUCCGAUGGUUCGGAUAGCUUCAUUAGGUGAUUUGGGACUUAGUAUCAUUAUCAGAAUGUUUUUGGAGGUCCGUGGUAGAUCAGGCUUGAAUUGGCAAAAUUGGAUUUUGCCGUUUUCUGGUUGGUAGUGGAAAUUUUUAUAUAGGGAUCGGAAUAGAAUUCCAAAAAUUGGAGUAGGUCCGUUGUGUCAUUUUUGACGUGUGUGCAAAAUGUUAUGUCAUUUAUGCGAGGUUUGAUAGACUUUUUGAUCGAAAGCGGAAUUUGGAAGUUUUAGAAUUCUUAGGCUUGAAUCCCAGGGUGAUUUGAUGUUUUGAUGUUGUUUGAUCGUUCCAAAGGUUGGAACAAGUUUGAAUGAUGUUAUGGGAUGUGUUUGCAUGUUUGGUUGUGGUCCCGAGGGAAUCGAGUGAGUUUCGGGUGGUUAACGGACCAAUUCUUGGUUUUGGAGAGUUGCAUAUUUUCUGGUUUUUGAUGCAGAGGAAAUUGUUCUUCGCGUUCGCGAAGAUAGUCCCGCGUUCGCGAAGAAGAGCUGGACCUAGAGGGGAAAAUGUUCUUCGCAUUUGCGAGCCUGGGGUUGUGUUCGCGUAGGUUUGGAUUCUAGUGAAUCGUGAACCCGUAAGAGGAGUCACGUUCGCGUAGGGUAAUUGGAGCAGCUGGGAUCCCAUGAGUUUUAUGCUUCGCGUUCGCGUAGGUAAGGUCGCGUUCGCGAAGUCUUGGACAGUUGAAGCUUUGCAUUCGCGUGAAGGGAGUCGCGUUUGCAAAAGAGGAAUAUUUGGUUAGUGAAUUUUUGUGAUUUGCGAAUGCAAGGCUUUGACCGCGUUCUCGAAAGAAAUUAAUGCCUGGGCAGAAUGUUUAAAUAGUUGCCUUCGCGAUUUUUGGUCCAUUUUCUCCAUUGUUGAACGAUUUGAAACUUUUUGAGUGGGAUUGAAGAGGGAAUCGAAGGGAAAACUUGGAGGUAAGACUACUCAAUACUCGAUUAUAUGGUGAUUUCUACCUAAUUAGACAUGAAAUUAGUGAGAUUUAAAGCCUACAAUUGGGGAAUUAGGGCUUGAAGUUGGAGACUUUGAUGUAAGGAUUUGAGGGGUCGUUUGUGGUUGGAUUUUGAUGUAUUUGAUAUGUAUGAACUCGUGAGAGUGUAAGGAUUCUAGUUUUGUGAUUUUUAUCAAAAUUCGAGAUGUGGGAUUGGUGGUCAGGUUUGGCCAAUUUCGGGAUUUUUGAUGUAAUUCGAUUAUUUUCACUUGGGCUUUGUUCCCUUAGCGCGUAUUAAUGGUAUGAUACUGAUUUUGGUUAGAUUUGGAGCAAUUGGAGGCCGAUUCGAGGGGCAAAGGCAUCUCGGGCUAGAGUUUGUAUUGGAUUGAGGUAAGUAAUGAUUUUAAAUGUUGUCCUGAGGGUAUGAAACCCCGGAUUUCACAUCAUUGUGCUACUUUUAGGUAACGCACACGUUAUAUGACGGACGUGGGGUCGUACAUCAUUGGGGAUUGUGACUUGGUCCGUACCGUACGACUAUUAAGUCACGUAUUUGAUUGAAAACUUUUUGAAGUCAUUGUGUUUUGGAAAGCAUUACUAUGUUUUGGGCUGAAUGCCAUAUUUGGCUCUCGUGCCAACUAUUUUGGACCCUUAGGGGCUUUAUUUUACUACUAUUCCUCACUAUUUUGACCUUAUAUUUGUACUUUGUCAUGCUGUAUUCUACUAUUUUCAUAACUCUGCCAUAUUUACUCCGUUUUGACAUUUUAAAUGAUGUGUUAGGCUGACCAUCAUGUUUUACUGUUGCCCGAGUGGCUUGAGAGGUUUCUGACUGAGUGAGGCUGAGGGCUUGUGUUGUGAGUAUUGUUAUGGGAUCAGGCUGCGCACCACAACAUGUAUAUUGAUUUGUGAUAUAUGAGAGGCCGAGAGCCUGAUUUGUUAUACCACGAGAUGGCUUGUGAUAGCGCUUGGGCUGUUGGAGCCCCUCCGGAGUCUGAACACCCCCAGUAAGCGCGGGUACACAACGUGAGAGAUGUGAUAUUGCCCGAGGGCCUGAUGUUGUUUCAUGUUGUUGCCCGAGGGGCUGAUUACGAGUGAUUGUGAGGUAGCUCGAGGGGCUGGUUUUUGUUGAUAUUUUGCCCAAGGGGAUGUUUAUGCUUUCUACCCUUUUACUCACUAUUUUCAUCACUCGUUUGAAACUAUUGAAAGAUGUUUUAAAAAGGUUUUACUGAACUGAGUUCUAUUUAUGAGUUUUGUUGAUUUACUGUAUUAAUUAUGCACAUAUACUAUUUUGUUGUGGUGCUAUGACGUGAAAUUACCUGUUUCUUACGGCUCAGUUGCUUUUACUUUUAUUACUUACUGAGUUGGCGUACUCACAUUACUCCCCGCACCUUGAACCAGGAGUCUCGGGGUGCGAUAGUGAGUGCUGAUAAGUCUUCCAGCAGGUCUCCGGAGUUGACUAGGUAGCUGCUUGGCGUUCGCAGCCAGUGCUUCUCAUUCCUAUCUUAUUCAGAUUGUCAUAGUAUUUUAUUUUCGGACUAUGUUAUCUUUUCUUAUUCUUAGACGAGUUGUAGUUGCUCAUGACUGGUGACACCCUGAUGUCGGGCUUGUGUUAUAUUUUCGCACUGCUUAUUUUAACUUAUAUUAUGGAAUUUUAGCUAAAGAAUGGCUUAAAAUGACUUAUUAUAAAUUUCUGGUUGGUUUUGGAGUUUGUGUCGGCUGACCUAAUUUCAAUUUAGGUGCCAUCACGACCGGGUCAGUUUUUGGGCCGUGACAUUGUCAAAGGUCCAUGCCCUCAGAAAAUAAAAGUUGGGAUAACUUGUGUUUAAAACAAAAGAAAAAAAAAUAGAAAGAAAGAUGAAAGAAGUUAGUUAGAUCAGAUGUUUGAACUACGUUCGACUUGAUUCCUUUAAAAAAAAGGAUACGUAGGUCCAACCAAAUAAGAGUAAAAAAAAUCCAAAAAAAAAUCCUCAGUAUCUGAAACUGGGGAAAAGAUUUUAUUUUACUUUUGAAAGAGUCGAUUCCAAGAGUUGUAAGUCUACAACCUUUCAUUUUGAGUCUACUUUGAGCCUUCAUGCCAUCCUUUCUUUCCAACCCUAUCCAAAAACCUUCCAAAUAAAUACCUCCCGAUAUGCUUUCAAAGAUGCCAAGAGACACUUGCAAUGAGUAGCAUUUGUCACACGACAUAGAAUACUGUCAAGUUGCUCAAGAAAGCAACAGAAAAAAAGAGAGAAAGAAAAAAUGAGAGAGUCUUGCUAGUGAAAACCUUCACGGGCACUGUAAGUAAGCAGAGAUGAACUAAUGAUAGAGACUUAUUGGUGAAAAUCCCUCGAGGCACCUCUAGUCGAAAAUGAGUCGUGAAGUUGAUGCAAAGGAUUGUCACGAACAAGCCCGACUUCAAAGUCAUAAGAAUGGUAAAAGGAAAGAUUUUGUUAGUUUGAUAGAUUGGCCGUUAAGUCCAAAAUGCAUGUCAUGAUCAUUAAGGCUAGUUAUUGAAAAACAAAAAAAACUCCUCCUUCUGUCCUUCCUGACAGGGGAAUUUCUUGUUAAUACUGUUUCUUUGCAUCAUUGUGCCCUUCACUCUGAGUCAGUCCUUGUCAAAACAAGCAUGAAAAGAUUUCAAAAUUUGCUACCAGCUUUUCAAUUGCACAAAGUAAAUUUGGCCAGCAUACUCCGGUGUUACAGUCAACAUGACUAGAGGAUUCAUGCAAAGGCUUCCCCCAAAAUACUCUUGUCAAUCUUCUUGGCGCAUGCAAAAAUAAGUGAUUCUCUCUGACGGACAAAUUGCUCAAAAGCCGGAAGUCAUUCAAUUUAGCAGAAAAGGUCAACUAAGCAAAGAUCUCCAGUUGAAAUAAGGCUGAUUGAGCCCUAAAUAUAAAUGGUACUGACUGAACACUCAGUGUUGAUGCAGAGGAAAAGUGACAAUUUUUUGAGCAAAAGCCAAGAUGCCCAGGACUCAAGGCCACAAACCGACUACCACUUUCAAAACUGACAAUUUUUUUUGUUUGAAACAGGAUUAAUGCAGUGCAAAGAAAGUGAUUCCAAAAAAAGAGAGGAUGUAAAAAUCAAACAAAAAAGAAAGAAAAAAUAAAAAGAAGAGAAGAGCCGACAAGGGAAGUUUCUCAAAUCUUUGUCUGUUUCUAUCUUGCUCGUGUGCAUAAAUUUUGCCAUUUGCUUGUCACAUUUUGCCUCCUAGGAUAACAAGUCCUAGUCUGAUGGAUUUUCCUCCUAAAAAAAAUCUUAGUCUAAUGAAUUUUUCUCCUAAUAUAAGAAAACCUAGUUUGAUGAAUUUUCUCCUAGGAUCAAAAUCUUAGUUUGAUGAAUCUUUCUCCUAAGAUAGAAAACCUAGUCUGAUGAAUUUUCUCCUACGAUCGAAAUCUUAGUCUGAUGAAUUUUUCUUCUAAGAUAGAAGACCUAGUCUGAUGAACUUUCUCCUAGGAUAGAAAUCUUAGUCUAAUGAAUCUUUCUCCUAAGAUACCAAAAAAAAGAAGAUAGAAAACCUAUUCUGAUGAAUUUUCUCCUAGGAUCGAAAUCUUAGUCUGAUGAAUUUUUCUCCUAAGAUAGAAGACCUAGUCUGAUGAAUCUUUCUCCUAGGAUAGAAAUCUUAGUCUGAUGAAUCUUUCUCCUAAGAUAAUUAAAAAAAGAGACCUAGUAUGAUGAACUUUCUCCUAGGAUCAAAAUCUUAGUCUGAUGAAUCUUUCUUCUAAGAUUAAAACCUAGUCUGCUGAAUUUUCUCAUAGGAUUAAUAAUUUUUAUUUUAAAAGGAAAGUCUGGAUUUGUAAAAAGGGUCAAUUUUUAGUUUUCUUAAGUUAUUAAUCUUUAGUUUUCGUGAAAUCAGGGGCCCCGCCUGGAAAAUAGGGUCAUUUUUUACUUAUUCAAGUUUAGUUUAUAGUUUUCCACAAGCUAAAUCUUAAAUAUAGGAGACACACUUCCUAGUUUGGGUCAUUUAGGUUUUUUUUCAGCAGAUGCAUUUGCAAUUCGAAAUUUAUUGGUUUUACUCACAGGAGACGCACAUCCUAGCUGAGUCUUUAAUUUACUCUCAUCAUUGCACCAUUUAUCAAUAGCAUAUGUGAUUUAUAGUUCUGCUAAUAACUCACAAAUCUUCCAAGUGCAAACUGGGGCAGAAAAGAUUCUUUGUUUUGUCUGUUUUGCUGUAGUAUUAGGCGCCCACCUGGAGGACGAGGGAACUCAUUUUAUAAUUCAUUUCAGAGUCAUUUGAAAUUUCAAGUCAGUAGCAGGCGCCCACCUGGAGAAUGAGAGAAUUCAUUUCAAGUUCCAGCCAGAGACAACAGGAUCCCUCAUGAAGAAUA